This 433-nucleotide ribosomal RNA is filed under the name uncultured bacterium. Its description in RNAcentral is "partial 16S ribosomal RNA". It matches the Rfam family "Bacterial small subunit ribosomal RNA", at positions 29 to 507 of the family's 1533-position model. The record is from RNAcentral.
AACGAACGCUGGCGGCAUGCCUAACACAUGCAAGUCGAACGAGACCUUCGGGUCUAGUGGCGCACGGGUGCGUAACGCGUGGGAACCUGCCUUUAGGUUCGGAAUAACUCAGAGAAAUUUGAGCUAAUACCGGAUGAUGUCUUCGGACCAAAGAUUUAUCGCCUUUAGAUGGGCCCGCGUUGGAUUAGCUAGUUGGUGGGGUAAAGGCCUACCAAGGCGACGAUCCAUAGCUGGUCUGAGAGGAUGAUCAGCCACACUGGGACUGAGACACGGCCCAGACUCCUACGGGAGGCAGCAGUGGGGAAUAUUGGACGAUGGGCGAAAGCCUGAUCCAGCAAUGCCGCGUGAGUGAUGAAGGCCUUAGGGUUGUAAAGCUCUUUUACCCGAGAUGAUAAUGACAGUAUCGGGAGAAUAAGCUCCGGCUAACUCCGUG